GUUAGAGGUUAUAAUGUUAUCACAAUAUGGCGGCGACGACCAAGAAGCGAGAGCUGUCGCCAGGAGAAAGCGGGUCGGAGUCAGCGGACGAUGAGUGGGUGGGACCGCUGCCCUCGCAGGCUGUGCACGCAAAGAAAAGAAAAGUUCUUGACUUUGAACAUGUGUAUCUCGACAACCUGCCGAGUGCUUCAAUGUAUGAGCGUAGCUACAUGCACAGAGAUAUUAUAACGCACAUGGUGUGUACACGGACAGAUUUCGUAAUAACAGCCAGUCAGGAUGGACAUGUCAAAUUCUGGAAGAAGAAGUAUGAUGAAGGGAUAGAGUUUGUUAAGCACUUUCGCAGUCAUUUAGGAGUUAUUGAAUCUAUCUGUGUAAGUGCAGAAGGAGCUCUGUUCUGCUCUGUUGGUGAUGACCAGGCAAUGAAGAUUUUUGACGUAGUGAACUUUGAUAUGAUUAACAUGCUCAAAUUAGGGUACCAUCCUGGUAAGUGUGGGUGGAUUUACUCACCAGGAGAUGCUAUAUCUGCUGUGGCAUGUUCAGAAAAAGUCACUGGAAAGAUCUUUGUAUAUGAUGCCAGAGGAAGCAACCAGCCACUACAUGUCUUUGAAAAACUGCAUAGUUGUUCUCUCACCGAGAUUAACUUAAAUUCUGUCUACAAGGUUGUAGUAUCGACUGACAAAUCAGGAAUGUUGGAAUACUGGACUGGGCCACCCACUGAGUACAGGUUCCCCAAAAAUGUGGAGUGGGAAUAUAAGACGGAUACAGACCUGUAUGAAUUUGCAAAAUGUAAAUCAUACCCAAUUAGCAUCACAUUCUCCCCUGAUGGGAAAAAAAUGGCUACUAUUGGUUCUGACCGCAAAGUAAGGAUUUUCAGGUUUUUGACUGGAAAGCUCAUGAGGGUGUUUGAUGAAUCCCUUACAAUGUUUACAGAACUACAGCAGAUGAGACCACAGCUUCCUGACAUGGAGUUUGGCCGGCGCAUGGCUGUUGAACGAGAACUGGAAAAAGUGGAUGGAAUAAGGCUAACAAAUAUCAUUUUUGAUGAAACUGGACAUUUUGUACUUUAUGGUACAAUGCUGGGAAUCAAAGUAAUAAAUAUAGAAACAAACAGGUGUGUGCGUAUCUUGGGUAAGCAAGAAAACAUCCGGGUGGUGCAAUUAGCCUUGUUCCAAGGUGCAGCUAAACAGGCACAAGUUGUAAUAACCAUGGAGAUGAAAGCUUCUGACAAUCCUGUGCUACAAAACGUUCAACAGGACCCAACUGUGUUCUGUACAGCAUUUAAAAAGAAUCGAUUUUAUAUGUUUACAAAAAGGGAACCAGAGGACACAAAGAGUGCUGAGUCUGAUCGAGAUGUCUUCAAUGAGAAACCCUCCAAGGAGGAGGUCAUGGCUGCUACACAAGCAGAUGGCCCUAAGCGUGUUUCAGACAGUGCAAUUAUCCACACAACAAUGGGAGAUGUACAUGUUAAGCUUUUCCCUGUUGAAUGUCCAAAAACUGUGGAAAAUUUCUGUGUACACAGCAGAAAUGGAUAUUACAAUGGACAUAUAUUUCACCGUAUCAUUAAGGGGUUCAUGAUUCAAACUGGAGAUCCAACUGGCACAGGGAUGGGUGGAGAAAGUAUUUGGGGAGGAGAAUUUGAAGAUGAAUUUCAUCCAACAUUGAGGCAUGAUCGACCUUAUACACUCAGUAUGGCCAAUGCAGGUGCCAACAGUAAUGGAUCCCAGUUCUUUGUAACUGUUGUACCUACAAUGCUGCCAGACCUAGAGAAGUAAGCUAUUUGACCCCGCAGGUCUGCUCCACUAUUCAAUAUGAUCACGGCUGAUUUUCCACCGAGUUUCUACAGCCUUCUGGGGUAGAGGUUACCAAAGGCUCAAAACACUUGGAGUGAGUUAUGAGAAGUAUUGUGGAAUAUUCUGUUUCUUGGACACUCAGACCAGUCAAAUGGAUUGCAGAGGCACAAAUGCUAACCUAGAUCUUGCGGGUGAGAUAAUCAUUCUUAGAGGUGUGGAGAGUUGAUUCCCGUCUGAGAGAGUGACAUAAGCCAAAAUAAUAGAGAAAGACCUGAAAAUGCAGUGCGGAACACCUUUAUUGCUAGCCAUGGCUUGACAACAAACACACAGUUUUUGGCCGUGUGACAAAAGGGAUGGAAGUGGUCCAGAGGAUUGCCAAUGUGAAAUGUAACCCAAAAACAGACAAGCCUUAUGAAGAUAUCAGUAUUAUCAAUAUUACUGUAAAAUAAAAGUUCAAGUUCAACAAA
This is an RNA transcript of Carcharodon carcharias (great white shark), 2257 nucleotides long. It is a transcript of the gene named peptidylprolyl isomerase domain and WD repeat containing 1, with no coding region annotated. The transcript is spliced from 13 exons. NCBI's taxonomy places the organism in Eukaryota, Metazoa, Chordata, Chondrichthyes, Lamniformes, Lamnidae. The record is from RefSeq and is a predicted model, not a curated record.